Molecule: ribosomal RNA, 253 nt
Filed under: uncultured bacterium
Lineage: Bacteria
Description: partial 16S ribosomal RNA
Rfam family: Bacterial small subunit ribosomal RNA
Source: RNAcentral
UACGUAGGGGGCAAGCGUUGUCCGGAUUUAUUGGGCGUAAAGCGCGUGUAGGCGGCUUGGUAAGUCUGCUCUGAAAGCCCGGGGCUCAAACCCGGGAGGCGGGUGGAUACUGUCAAGCUCGAGUCCGGAAGAGGAGUGUGGAAUUCCUGGUGUAGCGGUGAAAUGCGCAGAUAUCAGGAGGAACACCGGUGGCGAAGGCGGUUCUCUGGGCAUGUCCUGACGCUGAGGAGCGAAAGUGUGGGGAGCGAACAGG